UUUCUUGACCUGGGUCAGUAUUCCCCCAGGCCCUGUCACGCCUGCUCUUCAGCCAUUGACCCAGAUCAAUUUUCCCGCCGCCAGCGCUGAUAACGUGAAGCCAUCCCAGACAGACAGGCACAACAGGAGGCAGCCAUGUUCGUCGAUACAGUGGUUCUCGCCGGACUCGGCACCGUACUUCUGAUGAUCGCGUUUUGUGGGGGCGUUGGUUACUUCAUCUGGAAGGAUGCGCACAAGCGCAAGCAGAGCUGAUCCUUCCGGUUCACAGGGCACGCAAGGCAAUUCGGGCGACUUCGGUCGCCCUUU
Molecule: unclassified non-coding RNA, 306 nt
Filed under: Ectopseudomonas guguanensis
Lineage: Bacteria; Pseudomonadati; Pseudomonadota; Gammaproteobacteria; Pseudomonadales; Pseudomonadaceae
Description: Pseudomonas guguanensis Pseudomonas sRNA P20
Rfam family: PhrS (bases 95-306)
Source: RNAcentral